AUUGAACGCUGGCGGAAUGCUUUACACAUGCAAGUCGAACGGUAGAGGGGGCAACCCCUUGAGAGUGGCGAACGGGUGAGUAAUAUAUCGGAACGUGCCCAGUCGUGGGGGAUAACGUAGCGAAAGUUACGCUAAUACCGCAUACGAUCUACGGAUGAAAGCGGGGGGACUCGCAAGAGCCUCGCGCGAUUGGAGCGGCCGAUAUCAGAUUAGGUAGUUGGUGGGGGUAAAGGCUCACCAAGCCAACGAUCUGUAGCUGGUCUGAGAGGACGACCAGCCACACUGGAACUGAGACACGGUCCAGACUCCUACGGGAGGCAGCAGUGGGGAAUUUUGGACAAUGGACGCAAGUCUGAUCCAGCCAUUCCGCGUGCAGGAUGAAGGCCCUCGGGUUGUAAACUGCUUUUGUACGGAACGAAAAGGUUUCUAUUAAUACUAGGGGCUCAUGACGGUACUGUAAGAAUAAGCACCGGCUAACUACGUG
Molecule: ribosomal RNA, 484 nt
Filed under: uncultured bacterium
Lineage: Bacteria
Description: bacterial SSU rRNA
Rfam family: Bacterial small subunit ribosomal RNA
Source: RNAcentral